Molecule: non-coding RNA, 1038 nt
Organism: Dermacentor andersoni
Lineage: Eukaryota; Metazoa; Arthropoda; Arachnida; Ixodida; Ixodidae
Source: RefSeq, a predicted model, not a curated record
AGGGAUGAGGAAGAGUAGAAUGAGAUUAUCUGCAGGUAUAUGUAUUAUGCAUUUUCUAGCAACUGAAGGGCCACUGUAUUUUUUGACAUGUUACCAGCUAUAGUUUGCAUGUGAUCACUGUGAGCUAAAUGAAACUUUGAUGGAAUCCUCAACUGAAGGAUCACAGAUGCAUUGGCUGUGUUGUCCCGAGUACAUCUGCCCCUCAAAGGAAGCUAAAGAGCAAGGAUACUGAUGUAUACAUGCCUUACAGAUAAAUGUAUAGCAAGGAGGAGAAAGUGCCUCUGGCGAGGGAAGCAAAGGUGAGAGGGAAACUCCUCUCUUACAAGCUGAGAGUGGUUAAUGUAACGAAAUUUUGUAAUGCUGAGUUUGUUCUGAAUGUAAUAUACAUGGUAAUGAAUUUGUUAUUGGCAGUCAGUCAUUCGAUUCCUGUAAUGCUACCACAGUGCAAACAAAAAUUCUAAAAUAUAAUCGCCAUGAGCAUGGAGCUCAUUUCAAUGAAGACCUUCCAUCCCAUGGCCCUCCGACUUACAAAUUGUCUUUUAGUAGUAAUACAAGCAAACUUCAUGAUGGUUGCCUUUUUAGAGGUUUAGAUGAUGUGAAAAGGACAGUAACCGAAAGCAAAUAAUGUAUCCAAAGUUUAUUUUCAACACGGAAACAAUACAAAAAUAACACCAACACUCACCACUUUGAUAUGGCAACAAAAACAACUCUGGAAUCGGUUCUUUGUACAUUUUCGCCAAUGCAGGCACAAGUGUAUAAAAAAUAACAUUCUUUUAUGCAAAAAAAAAACAAAAUAGGCUUUGCAAUUUCUCACUACAAAUGCCUAAUAUGGCCUUGGAGUGGGCACGCAGCAAAGGACUUUGCUUUUGCUUUGCCGACGGCGUUUUCAGAAACAACAUAUUCCAAGACAUUCAUAUGGUCUGUUUGAUAUAAAAAUAUCACAUUGACAUUCGUAGAACACUUCAAAACAAAUUCGCUGAGGAGUUGUAGCCACUGGCCAAUGAUUGAGUGUCACGAGUGGUGGGACUAGCAUACAAA